ACGCUGGCGGCGUGCCUAAUACAUGCAAGUAGAACGCUGAAGCUUGGUGCUUGCACCGAGCGGAUGAGUUGCGAACGGGUGAGUAACGCGUAGGUAACCUGCCUCUUAGCGGGGGAUAACUAUUGGAAACGAUAGCUAAUACCGCAUAAAAGUUGAUAUCGCAUGAUAUUGAUUUGAAAGGUGCAAUUGCAUCACUAAGAGAUGGACCUGCGUUGUAUUAGCUAGUUGGUGAGGUAACGGCUCACCAAGGCGACGAUACAUAGCCGACCUGAGAGGGUGAUCGGCCACACUGGGACUGAGACACGGCCCAGACUCCUACGGGAGGCAGCAGUAGGGAAUCUUCGGCAAUGGGGGCAACCCUGACCGAGCAACGCCGCGUGAGUGAAGAAGGUUUUCGGAUCGUAAAGCUCUGUUGUAAGAGAAGAACGAGUGUGAGAGUGGAAAGUUCACACUGUGACGGUAACUUACCAGAAAGGGACGGCUAACUACGUGCCAGCAGCCGCGGUAAUACGUAGGUCCCGAGCGUUAUCCGGAUUUAUUGGGCGUAAAGCGAGCGCAGGCGGUUAGAUAAGUCUGAAGUUAAAGGCUGUGGCUUAACCAUAGUACGCUUUGGAAACUGUUUAACUUGAGUGCAGAAGGGGAGAGUGGAAUUCCAUGUGUAGCGGUGAAAUGCGUAGAUAUAUGGAGGAACACCGGUGGCGAAAGCGGCUCUCUGGUCUGUAACUGACGCUGAGGCUCGAAAGCGUGGGGAGCAAACAGGAUUAGAUACCCUGGUAGUCCACGCCGUAAACAAUGAGUGCUAGGUGUUGGGUCCUUUCCGGGACUCAGUGCCCCAGCUAACGCAUUAAGCACUCCGCCUGGGGAGUACGACCGCAAGGUUGAAACUCAAAGGAAUUGACGGG
This 902-nucleotide ribosomal RNA is filed under the name uncultured bacterium. RNAcentral's name for it is "bacterial SSU rRNA". It matches the Rfam family "Bacterial small subunit ribosomal RNA", at positions 33 to 917 of the family's 1533-position model. The record is from RNAcentral.